UCCGCCCUGGUGUAAUGGCAGCACGCAGGCCUUUGGUGCCUUGCGGUCCGGGUUCGAAUCCUGGGGGCGGAGCCA
Molecule: transfer RNA, 75 nt
Filed under: Cellulomonas sp.
Lineage: Bacteria; Bacillati; Actinomycetota; Actinomycetes; Micrococcales; Cellulomonadaceae
Also listed under: 2 other names
Description: tRNA-Gln
Rfam family: tRNA
About the family: Transfer RNA (tRNA) molecules are approximately 80 nucleotides in length. Their secondary structure includes four short double-helical elements and three loops (D, anti-codon, and T loops).
Source: RNAcentral